AGAGUUUGAUCCUGGCUCAGGACGAACGCUGGCGGCGUGCUUAACACAUGCAAGUCGAACGAGACGAUUUUAAGCUUGCUUAGAUGAGUCGAGUGGCAAACGGGUGAGUAACGCGUAGACAACCUGCCGCAAAGAUGGGGACAACAGUCCGAAAGGACUGCUAAUACCGAAUGUUGUCAAGUUUCCGCAUGGGAGCUUGAUUAAAGAUGGCCUCUACUUGUAAGCUAUCGCUUUGCGAUGGGUCUGCGUCUGAUUAGCUGGUUGGUGGGGUAACGGCCUACCAAGGCGACGAUCAGUAGCCGGUCUGAGAGGAUGAACGGCCACAUUGGAACUGAGACACGGUCCAGACUCCUACGGGAGGCAGCAGUGGGGAAUCUUCCGCAAUGGGCGAAAGCUGACGGAGCAACGCCGCGUGAGUGAAGAAGGGUUUCGGCUCGUAAAGCUCUGUUGACGGGGACGAAUGUGCGAGAUGCGAAUAGUUUCUUGCAAUGACGGUACCCGUCGAGGAAGCCACGGCUAACUACGUGCCAGCAGCCGCGGUAAUACGUAGGUGGCGAGCGGUUGUCCGGAAUUAUUGGGCGUAAAGGGAGCGCAGGCGCGAAGGCAAGUCAGUCUUAAAAGUGCGGGGCUCAACCCCGUGAUGGGAUUGAAACUGUCUUUCUUGAGUGCAGGAGAGGAAAGCGGAAUUCCUAGUGUAGCGGUGAAAUGCGUAGAUAUUAGGAGGAACACCAGUGGCGAAGGCGGCUUUCUGGACUGUAACUGACGCUGAGGCUCGAAAGCGUGGGGAGCGAACAGGAUUAGAUACCCUGGUAGUCCACGCCGUAAACGAUGAGUGCUAGGUGUAGGAGGUAUCGACCCCUUCUGUGCCGGAGUUAACGCAAUAAGCACUCCGCCUGGGGAGUACGGUCGCAAGACUGAAACUCAAAGGAAUUGACGGGGGCCCGCACAAGCGGUGGAGUAUGUGGUUUAAUUCGACGCAACGCGAAGAACCUUACCAGGGCUUGACAUUGAGUGAAAAUACCUAGAGAAUAGGUACCUCCCUUCGGGGACACGAAAACAGGUGGUGCAUGGCUGUCGUCAGCUCGUGUCGUGAGAUGUUGGGUUAAGUCCCGCAACGAGCGCAACCCCUAUCAUUUGUUGCCAGCACGUAAAGGUGGGAACUCAAAUGAGACUGCCGCGGACAACGCGGAGGAAGGCGGGGAUGACGUCAAGUCAUCAUGCCCCUUAUGUCCUGGGCUACACACGUACUACAAUGGGACGGACAGAGAGCAGCGAACCCGCGAGGGCAAGCGAACCCCAUAAACCAUCUCCCAGUUCGGAUUGCAGGCUGCAACCCGCCUGCAUGAAGUCGGAAUCGCUAGUAACCGCUGGUCAGCAUACAGCGGUGAAUACGUUCCCGGGCCUUGUACACACCGCCCGU
RNAcentral lists this ribosomal RNA (1420 nucleotides) under Pseudoselenomonas ruminantium. RNAcentral describes it as "bacterial SSU rRNA". It matches the Rfam family "Bacterial small subunit ribosomal RNA". Lineage: Bacteria; Bacillati; Bacillota; Negativicutes; Selenomonadales; Selenomonadaceae. The record is from RNAcentral.